This 75-nucleotide transfer RNA is filed under the name Nitrospirae bacterium GWF2_44_13. Its description in RNAcentral is "tRNA-Gly". It matches the Rfam family "tRNA". Rfam says of the family: Transfer RNA (tRNA) molecules are approximately 80 nucleotides in length. Their secondary structure includes four short double-helical elements and three loops (D, anti-codon, and T loops). Further hydrogen bonds mediate the characteristic L-shaped molecular structure. tRNAs have two regions of fundamental functional importance: the anti-codon, which is responsible for specific mRNA codon recognition, and the 3' end, to which the tRNAs corresponding amino acid is attached (by aminoacyl-tRNA synthetases). tRNAs cope with the degeneracy of the genetic code in two manners: having more than one tRNA (with a specific anti-codon) for a particular amino acid; and 'wobble' base-pairing, i.e. permitting non-standard base-pairing at the 3rd anti-codon position. Lineage: Bacteria; Pseudomonadati; Nitrospirota. RNAcentral also lists the same sequence under 22 other names. The record is from RNAcentral.
GCGGGAAUAGCUCAGUGGUAGAGCACAACCUUGCCAAGGUUGGGGUCGCGGGUUCGAGCCCCGUUUCCCGCUCCA